GCCAAACCAAGAAAUAGAUUCUUAACUACAGAGUAAAAUUCCCUCUUAGAACCUCUUUUGCUGCAUCUCAAAGAUUUUGGACCAGUAUUUUCAUUUUCAUUUGUCUCCAUGUAUUUUUUAAAAAUAUUUUAUUUAUUCAUGAGACACACACACACACACACACACAAAGAAGCAGAGACACAGGCAGAGGGAGAAGCAGGCUGCAAGCAGGGAGCCCGAUGUGGAACUCGAUUCCAGGACUCUAGGAUCAAGCCCUGAGCCAAAGGCAGACGCUCAACUGUUGAGCCACCAAGGUGUCCCUCCAUGUAUUUUUUGAUUUCCCCUUUGAUUUCUUGGUUGACCCAUUCAUUGUUUAGUAGCAUGUUAUUUAACCUCCAUGUAUGUAUUUUCUUUCCAGAUUUUGCUUGUGCUUGUUUUCUAGUUUCAUGGUGGUGUAGUUGGAAAGGAUGCAUGACUUUUCAAUUUUGAAUUUGUCGGGACUUGUUUUGUGGACCAGCAUGUGAUCUCUUCUGGAGAAUGUUCCACAUGCAGUUGAAAAGAAUGUGUAUUCCACUGUUUUAGGAUGUGAUGUUCUGAAUCUCUCUCUUAGCUCCAUCUAGUCCAAUGCAUUAUUCAAAGCCACUGAUUCCUUGUUGAUUUUCUGUUUGGAAGAUCUAUCCAUCGAUGUAAAUGGGGUGUUAAAGUUCCUUACUAUUAUUGUAUUACUAUUAAUGAUCUUUUUUAUAUUUAUUAUCAGCAGCUUUAUGUCUUUGGAUGCUUUCAUGUUGGGUGUAUAAAUAUUUACAAUUGUUACAUCUUAUUGUUGGAUUGUUCCCUUUAUGUGGUGUCCUUCCUUGUUUCUUGUUACAGUCUUUGUUUUAAAGUCUAUUUUGUCUGAUAGAAGUAUUGCUAACCUGGUUUUUUUUUUUUUUUAAGAUUUAUUUAUUUAUUUAUUCAGAGAGAGCGAGAGAGAGGCAGAGACACAGGCAGAGGGAGAAGCAGGCCAUGCAGGAAGCCCGACGUGGGACUUGAUCCUGGGUCUCCAGGAUCACACCCUGGGCUGCAGGUGGCGCUAAACCGCUGCGCCACUGGGGCUGCCCUAACCUGGUUUUCUUUUCACUUCCAUUUGCUUGAUAAAUGUUUUCCAAACCUUUUACUUUCAAAGUGUAAGUAUGUUUAGGUCUGAAAUGAGUCUCUUAUAGACAGCAUAUAGGUAGGCCUUUUAAAAAGUAAGUUACUUCUAUUUAUUUAAGUAGUUUCUACACUCAACAUGGGGUUCGAUCUCGCUUUUUUAAUCCAUUCUAUGACCCUAUGUCUUUUGAUUGGAGCAUUUAGUCCAUUUACAUUCAAAGUAAUU
Molecule: long non-coding RNA, 1336 nt
Filed under: Canis lupus familiaris (dog)
Lineage: Eukaryota; Metazoa; Chordata; Mammalia; Carnivora; Canidae
Description: lncRNA (ENSCAFG00000059465.1)
Source: RNAcentral